Molecule: long non-coding RNA, 309 nt
Organism: Papaver somniferum (opium poppy)
Lineage: Eukaryota; Viridiplantae; Streptophyta; Magnoliopsida; Ranunculales; Papaveraceae
Exons: 3
Source: RefSeq, a predicted model, not a curated record
UCUCUAGUGCCUUGCAUCCUGUUCUUCAUAGAUGGCAUAUUUUCAAUCUAUAUCAGAAAUCUUCGGCCAAAUAUAACAAAGAAGGAAGUUAAGGAUGUGUUCGCAAAAAAUUUUGGAUCAGUCAAGGAACAAGGCGUUGAGCUCUUAAGAGACAGGUACUUGUGGCAUGGCUUUGUCGAAUUUGAAUCAUAUUCUUACGUGCAAGCUGCAGUCGAGGCGAAGAAGGUCCUUAUCGGGAAGCGCCCAGUUUUUAUUGAGCACUUGACCAAAGUUACCCAUGGCAAGUGAACUGUACAACAGUUUUUCUUG